ACUCCUAGCGGGAGGCAGCAGUGGGGAAUUAUUGCCACAAUGGGCUGCAAGCCUGAUGCAGCCAUGCCGCGUGUAUGAAGAAGGCCUUCGGGUUGUAAAGUACUUUCAGCAGUGAGGAAGGUAGUGUAGUUAAUAGCUGCAUUAUUUGACGUUAGCUGCAGAAGAAGCACCGGCUAACUCCGUGCCAGCAGCCGCGGUAAUACGGAAGGGGUGCGAGCGUUAAUCGGAAUUACUGGGCGUAAAGCGCAUGCAGGUGGUUUGUUAAGUCAGAUGUGAAAGCCCGGGGCUCAACCUCCGGAAUAGCAUUUGAAACUGGCAGACUAGAGUACU
Molecule: ribosomal RNA, 330 nt
Filed under: uncultured bacterium
Lineage: Bacteria
Description: bacterial SSU rRNA
Rfam family: Bacterial small subunit ribosomal RNA
Source: RNAcentral